This 1004-nucleotide long non-coding RNA is filed under the name Heterocephalus glaber (naked mole-rat). RNAcentral's name for it is "lncRNA (ENSHGLG00100041160.1)". The record is from RNAcentral. Lineage: Eukaryota; Metazoa; Chordata; Mammalia; Rodentia; Bathyergidae.
GGCUACUCCCGUCACGCAUCCCGCAGUCCGCCCAGGGGCGCCCCCUCCCCGAGGCUUCCAAGCUGGGGACCCCCGUGGCCUCGGGGGCUUGCGCUUCUGCGCCCCUUGCGCGGGACGGGGCGCGCUCCGAGCGCCAGAGUCGGAAUGUCUUUCCCCUUACGUCUGCACUGCGUUUCCCUGCACGCGUGGACACGCUGCACCAGCCUUGCCCCCAUAGACGCUUGGGCCGCUGACACCUUUUGGCCACUGUGAGCGGUUUUGCUAUGACACGCAUGUGGGAAUCGCUGUUCACGGCCUUGCUUUCAAUUCCUGGCUUCUCCAGACCUGAGAACUUCCCUGGCCAGGGUCGCAGAGCCUCCGUCAGUGACAAGGAAACUGAGUCUCACAAGGAAGCGGACACAAGGGUUGAGGCUUUGAGGCCGAGCUCCCUGCUGCCCCCAGCCUUCCCAAGAGAGGAAGUGACUGGCCCAGGGUCAUUCACUGCUGCUUGGGGCUUUGGCUGGAGUCUGCUGACCGCCCUGGGAUCACAGGAUGACCAGGACAGCUGACCAGGACACCCUCAGGAUGCCCCUGCCUCUGGGGCACUUGCCAGAGGACAUGUGACAGGCAGUGCUCCGCCCCUUCCUCCCAGAGGAAGCCUGGCCCAGGACUCCUCAUGUUUGGCAGAUGGGGAAACUGAGCCCUGAGGAGGCCUGGCUCUGAGCCUGGGUCCUUUCCCUCACUGAAGACGUCCAUGUGGGAGAAGCGGGGCCCUGGACAGCAGGAUCCGACCCCAGCUGCCUCUGAGGACCGAAGGGUGGGAUGGCUGCCUGGAGGUGGCAGCUGGGAGGAGCCCCUGGGCGUGGGGCUUUCCUCCUAUGGGUAAUGGGCUGCACCCAAGGGUGCCCAGCCUGAGCCAGGGGCUCUCGGCAGUGAUGCAAAAUGCCAAGCAUGUCCACCCCGUUGCUGGGGACAGGCAGGGGCAGCUGCACACAGGCUGUUCUCUGAGCUGGCAUGAUUUCCAG